This 259-nucleotide long non-coding RNA is filed under the name Lathyrus oleraceus (garden pea). RNAcentral's name for it is "Pisum sativum (pea) long non-coding RNA (PSAT_LNC033405)". Lineage: Eukaryota; Viridiplantae; Streptophyta; Magnoliopsida; Fabales; Fabaceae. The record is from RNAcentral.
AACAAUUUUCAAAUGCUAUUUGUGAGGUGUUGCAAAAAUCCCCAUUCAAAAAUUCCCAUUAUUUCUCAAGUUGGACAAUUUUGCCCCUGGUUCUUUUAACUGUACAGUUGAAAUUUGACUUUUUGCAUUGACCAUUUUUGAAGAAAUCCAAUUAUGCACCAUGAAAGUACAUGUCAAAUGGAGUUUGUGCAUAUAAAGAACAUCCAAUUUGGACACUCCAUGUGGAAGUUAUGCCCUCCUGAUUAUGGGUCAUUUUUGA